RNAcentral lists this ribosomal RNA (253 nucleotides) under uncultured bacterium. RNAcentral's name for it is "partial 16S ribosomal RNA". It matches the Rfam family "Bacterial small subunit ribosomal RNA", at positions 524 to 776 of the family's 1533-position model. The record is from RNAcentral.
UACGUAGGGUGCGAGCGUUAAUCGGAAUUACUGGGCGUAAAGCGUGCGCAGGCGGCUCUUCAAGUCAGAUGUGAAAGCCCCGGGCUUAACCUGGGAAUGGCGUUUGAAACUGGAGGGCCGGAGUGUGGCAGAGGGAGGUGGAAUUCCACGUGUAGCAGUGAAAUGCGUAGAGAUGUGGAGGAACACCGAUGGCGAAGGCAGCCUCCUGGGCCAACACUGACGCUCAUGCACGAAUGCGUGGGGAGGAAACAGG